UCAGACGGCCGGGCGGUCGCGGUCGCCUUCGGGCGGUCGAGGAAAGUCCGGGCUCCACGGUGAAAUGGCGGCGGGUAACGCCCGCCGGGGGCGACCCCAGGGAUAGCGCCACAGAAAGCAAACCGCCCGAGGCUUCGGCCGAGGGUAAGGGUGAAAGGGUGCGGUAAGAGCGCACCGCGGGCCUGGUGACAGGACCGGCAUGGCAAGCCCCGCCAGGAGCAAGACCGAAUAGGGACCGCGCGCCCGUCCUCGGACGGGCAGGGCUCGCCGGCCCGAGCGGUCCGGGUAGGUCGCGAGAACCGUCCGGCGACGGACGGUCCAGAGGAAUGAUCGUCGCCCCGGAGCAAUCCGGGGGCACAGAACCCGGCUUAUAGGCCGUCUGAUCCG
This 387-nucleotide RNase P RNA is filed under the name Caulobacter sp. 17J80-11. Its description in RNAcentral is "RNase P RNA component class A". It matches the Rfam family "Bacterial RNase P class A". Rfam says of the family: Ribonuclease P (RNase P) is a ubiquitous endoribonuclease, found in archaea, bacteria and eukarya as well as chloroplasts and mitochondria. Its best characterised activity is the generation of mature 5'-ends of tRNAs by cleaving the 5'-leader elements of precursor-tRNAs. Lineage: Bacteria; Pseudomonadati; Pseudomonadota; Alphaproteobacteria; Caulobacterales; Caulobacteraceae. The record is from RNAcentral.